Transfer RNA from Fonticula alba, 73 nucleotides. It matches the Rfam family "tRNA". Rfam says of the family: Transfer RNA (tRNA) molecules are approximately 80 nucleotides in length. Lineage: Eukaryota; Rotosphaerida; Fonticulaceae. The record is from Rfam.
GCUCCUGUGGCUCAGUAGGUAGAGCGUGGGACUGUUAAUCCCAAGGUCCGCGGUUCGAUCCCGUGCGGGAGCG